CAAAGAGUAGAGAGAAAGGUAAUUCUAAAGCUAAUGCGAAAUGCUGGACAUUUUGCUUUUGGGAGGCGGUGAGAGACUCAGCUGGCCGGGAAGGGGGCCUAUGAGCCACUGAGUUUCUAACAAUGUAAUCAAGAGUCAACACGUGGGCAGAAAAUAGGACGCUUUGAAAUUCACUAUCUUCAGAAAGCCUUUCCAGACUCCAGCUACUCUUCUGCCGCGGCUUUCUUACUUCUUUUCUCUUCUCGGCUUAUUUGGGUUGGCUUCUUUGCCCACGACUGUCACUCUCCACCAAAGACAGAGGAUCCGAUGCAGGAGGCAGACAGAGCUGGGCUUCAACGCCAUGCCACUUGCUGUAGCUGGAGCCUUAUCUGAAAAGGUGAGAGGGACCACGUCAGCCUGCAGACCCACCCACCAACCACUUAAGGUCAAGACAACAAGCUCUUCCCAAGGCAAACCAACCCUAGGACAAAAAUAGAGCCAUCAUUCUGACCCAUUGUCCUUCCGACCAAUUCCUUGGCUUCCCAGCCAUUUGGAAACCUCACUGGGAAGUUUGGAGACCUGUGCUUGCAGGCUGGCCUGGCACAGACAGAACUGUGAGUACAGAAGGAGGACACCUCCCGUUUGGAUCCUGGAUUGUAGGCCAGGUCUACCUAGAAGCCAAUCACUCAAGGGACGGCUCAACGGUUCACUAAGGACAGCGUGGGAGGAAAACGUGGCCCAGCCUGAUAGAUAUCUCAGUCUUUUCACCCAGACCGACGCCAGCAAAGCUAAAAAUAAAUCAGCUUUCAGGUCUGGGCACAGAGGCCUGGAAGGCGCAAGCGUUCAUGAGCCAGCAGUAAUGAUGGAACCAGCCCUCUCGUGUGGAAGUCUCUCUGAGUGAACCAGAUGUCGUUGGCCCUAGGAGAUCCACGACCAAGAGUUGAGUUUUCACAGCGUUGAAAGGCCAGCAUUGGCCCUAACGCUAUUGGCCUCAGCAGAAGUCAGGAGCAAGAGUGAAGACCUAAUGAAGAGAGAGAGAGGCUGGAGAGUCUGGACAGAAACCUGCGAGCCUUAGAUUCUCAUGCUGUCUCAUCAAGCGCAGGGCCCAGCUUUUCAUCCAGUGAAGGAGUUAACGAUCCAGAGGGGAAGACGAUUUGAGCUCUUUACAGACCCGCGUUAUACAUGACUGGCUGCUGAUCCAUCUCCUUCUCGCUGACCAGGACGAGGAAACUGACUGACAUCGUCAAGCAGCAGCAGUGAAGAUGCAGCGUAGACUUUCUGGACAGACCGGUUGCCAAGAACCAAACUGUGGAAGGAGUAAUAAGUAUUCAUUUAACACCCAGUUAUAUAACACAUAUAUAUCAUAUAACAGAGUUAUAUGAUAGGCACUCUGGGGUAAAAAAAUAAAAAUCACCGAACCGACUCUUAACCUCAAUUUGGGUAUUGAAGAAAGGAUUGUCUUGCCUUGCACAUAGUAGGCAUUUAGUAAAUGUUGAAUUGAAGAAUAUAAUCGAACGGUGAUUCAGCUGAGGGAAGGCCUACACAGAGGAAGGGGGAUCUCAAAUCUCUUCCAAAACUGUAAGAAUGACAAGGCAGGAUGUUCUGUGCAAGGCUGGAGUCACAGCUUUCAAAGACAAUUCAAAUGCUACGUGGUCAAGGCACAAGGGGAAAAACAGCCUCUUGAAUCCCUAAUUGUUUACUUCCUUAAGAGAGUAAGUUUAGCUGGCGGCAUGGAGCUUAUUCAUUCAUUCAUUCAUUCACUUACUCAUCCUGUAAUUAUGAAGCAGUUCUAUAUACUAGGUGCUGGGCUCAGCACUAAGGGUAGAGCAGUUGAAAUAAGAUGAACAGUUUCUUGUCCUCAGGAAGCCUCUAGUCCAGGGAGGAAGUCAGACAUUGAAAAUAGAUGUUCCAGCUGUGAUGAAUGGAUCGAUAGGGGCAAUCAAAGUGCUAUGGAUAUCAUUUGUCGUGUACUGCAAGUUUAUUAACCUAGGAAUAGAUUCAAACAUUGUCAUGUACAUAUUGUGACCAUGACUUUGCAAAUGAACUUUUAACAAACAUAUUGAGACUUAUGCAUAUAAAUAAGUGUUUUUUCCAACAAAGACUCACUUUGGAAGCCCGUGUUCAUAUUUCAAUGAUACUUUUCUGGUUACUG
Molecule: long non-coding RNA, 2131 nt
Organism: Equus caballus (horse)
Lineage: Eukaryota; Metazoa; Chordata; Mammalia; Perissodactyla; Equidae
Source: Ensembl